This is a long non-coding RNA of Carya illinoinensis, 1659 nucleotides long. RefSeq lists it as uncharacterized. The transcript has 2 exons. Lineage: Eukaryota; Viridiplantae; Streptophyta; Magnoliopsida; Fagales; Juglandaceae. The record is from RefSeq and is a predicted model, not a curated record.
ACGAAGUUAAUCCAAAACAGUGUGGGAAGCAAUAUGGACCCAUUUGCUAAUGGAAAGGAAGGGUGAGUUUCAAUGGAAUGAUUCCGUAUUUUGAAAAAACUUUGGAAACGGGUGGGGGCCAUUGGAGUGAAUUCACAAGCUUAAUUAAAUUAAAUAUAGUUGAUGCUGGUGUUAGGCUUUUCUUGAGGGACAGGACACAUAACUUUCUACAGAGACAGGUUCUACAGGAGAGAGAAGUCCAGGGGAGAAGAACCUUGGGAGACACAUUCCCUGCAGUUUCUAAAACCAGCAACUUGUAUGUCAGCAACCGACCCCACUUGGAUUUGGAAUUCACUGAACCCAACCCUGUUUCUCUCUCUAUCUCUCUUUCUGCAUGAUAGCAAUAGUGAUAAUUCAAAUACAGUGCUACAACCCAGAGCUCCAUCAAAAGGAAGGGGUACCAAUCCUCCGUUCCACCAUAUAACUUCCAUAACAUCUUCAGAAAUUAUGAUAUCAGAAAACCCACUUCUCCUUUUUUAUGCUUGUUUUUGUUUUGAUGAGUUUUUUAUGCUUUAGGCUACCACUAAACAGAUAGGAACUGUAAGAGGAGUUUGGGAAAAUUAGGGGGCUGAGAUGCAAAGGGUGCAUAAAGGUGCUUCUCUGUCUUGUUGCCUUAUUCGGAAAUUUUACUACCACCAGCAUCAAAGGCUUCAGCAGCUUCAUCAACAUCACAGCUGGAUUAUUGGGGACGACGUCUCAUGGUUUGCGAGUUGAACUAAAGUUUUGAUUCUUUGGGAACAGACGAAGACGCGUGGUAUUGAUUUGUUUGAAGACGGCUGGAAAAGUUUCUCCUAGUGAUACCAAAAGUCUAUUUUCAUUGCAAGAUUUUGUUUACUUCACUUUGCAUUUUUAGUUGGUAAGACUGUUAGUUCUGAACCUGGGAUCUAGGCAGCAUUAGUUUCUAAGAAGAAACACUGCAUUGGGCUGUUGAAGUACAAGGAUAGCAACCUUAAAAGGAUUCUGCGAGUUGUAUAUUUGAUUGAAUAUUGCAACUACAAGAAUUCCCUCUCCACGUUUGCACCAGCAUUAUAACUAUGGCCCACUUGUGUUAGAAUUUUGAAGAGUGUUGAAGUUUGCACAUUUCACAUUUCUUGGGUGGCUAUAUAUCUUUGAAUUGAGUCAUUUGUCAUUUACAUUGGUUCAAUCUGAACUGGGGUGCUGUGAAUUAAGUGGCUAGGAGAUCUUUAAAUGAGAUUUGAACUUCCUGAGGUGGAUCUGAGAUUGUUGAAAGGUUUGAGUUGUUUACAAAAUCAUUCUGCAAGUUUCAUUAUGGAUGCGAGAUCAAGAAAGGUUCCUGGUCCUCUGGUUGAAGGAAAGAAGAUUGAAUACCAACGCAGCCUGUCACAUGGGAAGGGGAGCAGCAGAAGAUUGUUGGCUUCAAGUUACUUCAGCUUAGAGUCAUUGCUUUUGCUUGUAUGUCUCACGGCUUCUUUGCUGAUUCUUCCAUUGAUACUUCCACCUUUGCCUCCCCCACCAUUCAUGCUGCUUCUGCUUCCAAUAGGGAUCCUAGCAGUUCUUAUGGUUUUGGCUUUCAUGCCUUCUAAUGUGAGGGAUAUAACCUAUACAUAUGUGUAAAUGGUGUAAUAAACAUGCACAGCAGUACAUGCACCUUUGUCAUCA